RNAcentral lists this ribosomal RNA (937 nucleotides) under Oxystomina sp. Ugent CeMoFe7L28H15. RNAcentral describes it as "SSU rRNA". It matches the Rfam family "Eukaryotic small subunit ribosomal RNA", at positions 48 to 985 of the family's 1831-position model. The record is from RNAcentral. Lineage: Eukaryota; Metazoa; Nematoda; Enoplea; Enoplida; Oxystominidae.
GCCAUGCAUGUGUAAGCAUGAAUCAUUUAAUGGUGAAGCCGCGAAUGGCUCAUUACAACAGCCAUAGUUUAUUAGAUUUCUUUUUUACUUGGAUAACUGUGGUAAUUCUAGAGCUAAUACACGCAGCAAAGCUUCGACCUUACGGAAGGAGCGCAUUUAUUAGAACAAGACCAAUCGUGCUUCGGUACGUAACUUGGUGAAUCUGAAUAACUUAGUCGAUCGCAUGGUCUUGCACCGGCGACGCAUCUUUCAAGUGUCUGCCUUAUCAACUUUCGAUGGUAGUUUAUGCGCCUACCAUGGUUGUAACGGGUAACGGAGAAUCAGGGUUUGAUUCCGGAGAGGGAGCCUGAGAAAUGGCUACCACAUCCAAGGAAGGCAGCAGGCACGCAAAUUACCCACUCCCGGCACGGGGAGGUAGUGACGAAAAAUAACGAGGUGUUCCUCUACGAGGCACACCAUCGGAAUGGGUACAAUCUAAAUCCUUUAACGAGGAUCUAUUGGAGGGCAAGUCUGGUGCCAGCAGCCGCGGUAAUUCCAGCUCCAAUAGCGUAUAUUAAAGUUGUUGCGGUUAAAAAGCUCGUAGUUGGAUCUGCGGUUCAGGAGGGCGGUCCCCCAAAUGGGUGUGUACUGCUUUUUCCUGACCUAAUUCUUCUGGUUGGUCCUUGUUGCUCUUGACUGAGUGGCUUGGAUGGCUAGAACAUUUACUUUGAAAAAAUUAGAGUGCUCAAAGCAGACGAUUUGUCUGAAUACCGGUGCAUGGAAUAAUGGAAUAGGACCUCGGCCCUACUUCUGUUGGUCUCUUAAGAGCUCGAGGUAAUGAUUACAAGGGACAGACGGGCGCAUUCGUAUUCCGACGUUAGAGGUGAAAUUCUUGGAUCGUCGGAAGACGAACUAUUGCGAAAGCAUUUGCGAAGAAUGUUUUCAUUAAUCAAGAACG